GCUGGGUGUGGUGGUGCAUGCCUGUAGUCCCAGCUACUCAGGAGGCUGAGGCAGGAGAAUCGCUUGAGCCCAGGAGGUAGAGACUGCAGUGAGCUGAGAUCACACCACUGCACUACAGCCUGGGUGACAAAGCGAGAGCCUGUCUCAA
This 148-nucleotide non-coding RNA is filed under the name Pan paniscus (pygmy chimpanzee). RNAcentral also lists the same sequence under 1 other name. Lineage: Eukaryota; Metazoa; Chordata; Mammalia; Primates; Hominidae. The record is from Rfam by way of RNAcentral.